AAACUUUGGACUUCUAAAAUUGUUUGUGCCAGAAGGUGUAAAAGAUCAAACAUGAGGACUAUUACCGGAAAACGUUAGGCCAAACAGUCGUUUGAGUCUUUCCACUUAGGCAUAAGAUCCUCUUUAUUCAAUCUCAGUUUCUAAGAGAAAUCAACACAGGAGUCUUGCAAGCUAAAAGCAAGUAAGGAAGAGAUGGAAGCCUCAUAUAUUGUCAAAAUUCAAUAUUCAAAUUUAACUCUUUGGGCUGGUGAUGCCUAUACUUUAUUAGUGACAAAAUGUUGUCAUUUGUUUUGAGUGAGAACAUAUUUAGAUUGAUAUAUUGAUCUAUAUAUUAUUAACUAUAAUGUCUAGAGGACUUAAAAGUGUUGAAGUAAAAA
Molecule: long non-coding RNA, 377 nt
Organism: Helianthus annuus (common sunflower)
Lineage: Eukaryota; Viridiplantae; Streptophyta; Magnoliopsida; Asterales; Asteraceae
Exons: 2
Source: RefSeq, a predicted model, not a curated record